GCAUACCUGCACUCGACCGAACUCGNGUUAAAGUUUGAUCAUGGCUCACAGUGAACGUAGCGGUAGUGCCUAACACAUGCAAGUCGAACGGCAGCACAGGAGAGCUUGCUCUCUGGGUGGCGAGUGGCGGACGGGUGAGGAAUACAUCGGAAUCUACUCUGUCGUGGGGGAUAACGUAGGAAACUUACGCUAAUACCGCAUACGACCUACGGGUGAAAGCAGGGGAUCUUUCGGACCUUGCGCGAUUUGAAUGAGCCCGAUUGGUCGGGAAUUUAGCCUAAGUUUGGCCGGGGGGGUUAAAGGGGCCCCUACCCCAAAUGGCCGGAACCGAAUUCCCGNUUANGGCCUUGGGUUCUUGGC
This 360-nucleotide ribosomal RNA is filed under the name uncultured bacterium. Its description in RNAcentral is "bacterial SSU rRNA". It matches the Rfam family "Bacterial small subunit ribosomal RNA", at positions 1 to 288 of the family's 1533-position model. The record is from RNAcentral.